GGUGACUAUAGCAAGGAGGUCACACCUGUUCCCAUGCCGAACACAGAAGUUAAGCUCCUUAGCGUCGAUGGUAGUCGAACUUACGUUCCGCU
RNAcentral lists this ribosomal RNA (92 nucleotides) under Staphylococcus aureus subsp. aureus CIG1233. The record is from RNAcentral. Lineage: Bacteria; Bacillati; Bacillota; Bacilli; Caryophanales; Staphylococcaceae.